RNAcentral lists this ribosomal RNA (82 nucleotides) under Enterobacter hormaechei. RNAcentral describes it as "partial 23S ribosomal RNA". The record is from RNAcentral. Lineage: Bacteria; Pseudomonadati; Pseudomonadota; Gammaproteobacteria; Enterobacterales; Enterobacteriaceae.
UAGGUCGGGUGUGUAAGCGCAGCGAUGCGUUGAGCUAACCGAUACUAAUGAACCGUGAGGCUUAACCUUACAACGCCGAAGC